GAUGAACGCUGGCGGCGUGCCUAAUACAUGCAAGUCGAGCGAACGGACGCGAAGCUUGCUUUUCUGAUGUUAGCGGCGGACGGGUGAGUAACACGUGGAUAACCUACCUAUAAGACUGGGAUAACUUCGGGAAACCGGAGCUAAUACCGGAUAAUAUUUUGAACCGCAUGGUUCAAAAGUGAAAGACGGUCUUGCUGUCACUUAUAGAUGGAUCCGCGCUGCAUUAGCUAGUUGGUAAGGUAACGGCUUACCAAGGCAACGAUGCAUAGCCGACCUGAGAGGGUGAUCGGCCACACUGGAACUGAGACACGGUCCAGACUCCUACGGGAGGCAGCAGUAGGGAAUCUUCCGCAAUGGGCGAAAGCCUGACGGAGCAACGCCGCGUGAGUGAUGAAGGUCUUCGGAUCGUAAAACUCUGUUAUUAGGGAAGAACAUAUGUGUAAGUAACUGUGCACAUCUUGACGGUACCUAAUCAGAAAGCCACGGCUAACUACGUG
This 497-nucleotide ribosomal RNA is filed under the name uncultured bacterium. RNAcentral describes it as "partial 16S ribosomal RNA". It matches the Rfam family "Bacterial small subunit ribosomal RNA", at positions 28 to 507 of the family's 1533-position model. The record is from RNAcentral.